Molecule: transfer RNA, 72 nt
Filed under: Hyporhamphus paucirastris
Lineage: Eukaryota; Metazoa; Chordata; Actinopteri; Beloniformes; Hemiramphidae
Description: tRNA-Thr
Rfam family: tRNA
About the family: Transfer RNA (tRNA) molecules are approximately 80 nucleotides in length. Their secondary structure includes four short double-helical elements and three loops (D, anti-codon, and T loops).
Source: RNAcentral
GCACUAGUAGCUCAGCACCAGAGCGCAGGCCUUGUAAGCCUGACGUCGAAGGUUAAAAUCCUUCCUAUUGCU